RNAcentral lists this non-coding RNA (46 nucleotides) under Trichobilharzia regenti. The record is from RNAcentral. Lineage: Eukaryota; Metazoa; Platyhelminthes; Trematoda; Strigeidida; Schistosomatidae.
GUACUACUGAAGAGCUCCAAAAUAGGACGAAACAGCUGUCCAGUAC